UAAGAAAACAAAAGUCGGGGUGUAUGCAUAUAUUUGAGUGUAUGUAUAAUGAUGAUCCUGUGUGGAUUAGAGAAGAUCCCAAAUAAAUUCAAACUUGUUCACCCAAUUCUUGUUUUUUAAAAUCAUUAAUGAUGUAUGCUGUACAAUC
Long non-coding RNA from Thalassophryne amazonica, 148 nucleotides. RefSeq lists it as uncharacterized. The transcript is spliced from 3 exons. The record is from RefSeq and is a predicted model, not a curated record. NCBI's taxonomy places the organism in Eukaryota, Metazoa, Chordata, Actinopteri, Batrachoidiformes, Batrachoididae.